UACGUAGGGUGCGAGCGUUAAUCGGAAUUACUGGGCGUAAAGCGUGCGCAGGCGGUUUUUUAAGCCAGACGUGAAAGCCCCGGGCUUAACCUGGGAAUGGCGUUUGGGACUGGAAGGCUGGAGUACGGCAGAGGGAGGUGGAAUUCCACGUGUAGCAGUGAAAUGCGUAGAGAUGUGGAGGAAUACCGAUGGCGAAGGCAGCCCCCUGGGAUAACACUGACGCUCAUGCACGAAAGCGUGGGGAGCAAACAGG
Molecule: ribosomal RNA, 253 nt
Filed under: uncultured bacterium
Lineage: Bacteria
Description: partial 16S ribosomal RNA
Rfam family: Bacterial small subunit ribosomal RNA
Source: RNAcentral